Molecule: ribosomal RNA, 231 nt
Filed under: uncultured bacterium
Lineage: Bacteria
Description: partial 16S ribosomal RNA
Rfam family: Bacterial small subunit ribosomal RNA
Source: RNAcentral
GCAAGUCAAACGAGAACCGGGCUUCGGCCCGGGGACAGUGGCGUAAGGGCGAGUAACGGUAUCGAACGUACCCCGAGGUGGGGGAUAGCUGCGGGAAACUGCAGGUAAUACCCCAUGAUCUCUUCGGAGCAAAGGCUUGACCGCCUUGGGAGCGGCGAUACUCCUAUCAGGUAGUUGGUGGGGUAAAGGCCUACCAAGCCAAUGACGGGUAGCGGGUGUGAGAGCAUGACC